This 394-nucleotide ribosomal RNA is filed under the name uncultured bacterium. Its description in RNAcentral is "bacterial SSU rRNA". It matches the Rfam family "Bacterial small subunit ribosomal RNA", at positions 29 to 416 of the family's 1533-position model. The record is from RNAcentral.
AGCGAACGUUAGCGGCGGGCUUAACACAUGCAAGUCGAGCGAGAGAGUGACUUCGGUCAUGAGUAAAGCGGCAGACGGGUGAGGAACACGUAGGUAAUUUUCCGUUUAGUGGGGGACAACGGUCCGAAAGGACCGCUAAUACCGCAUACGUUCCUUGGGGCUUUGGCCCUGGGGAGGAAAGCUGGGCAACUGGCGCUAAAUGAGAAGCCUGCGUCGCAUCAGCUAGUUGGUGGGGUAAUGGCCUACCAAGGCGAAGACGCGUAGCUGGUCUGAGAGGAUGAUCAGCCACACUGGAACUGAGACACGGUCCAGACUCCUACGGGAGGCAGCAGUGGGGAAUAUUGGACAAUGGGCGCAAGCCUGAUCCAGCCACGCCGCGUGAGUGAUGAAGGCC